This 460-nucleotide ribosomal RNA is filed under the name uncultured bacterium. RNAcentral describes it as "partial 16S ribosomal RNA". It matches the Rfam family "Bacterial small subunit ribosomal RNA", at positions 338 to 795 of the family's 1533-position model. The record is from RNAcentral.
CCUACGGGAGGCAGCAGUGAGGAAUAUUGGUCAAUGGGCGCGAGCCUGAACCAGCCAAGUAGCGUGAAGGAUGACUGCCCUACGGGUUGUAAACUUCUUUUAUAAAGGAAUAAAGUGAGGCACGUGUGCCCUUUUGUAUGUACUUUAUGAAUAAGGAUCGGCUAACUCCGUGCCAGCAGCCGCGGUAAUACGGAGGAUCCGAGCGUUAUCCGGAUUUAUUGGGUUUAAAGGGAGCGUAGAUGGGUUGUUAAGUCAGUGGUGAAAGUUUGCGGCUCAACCGUAAAAUUGCCAUUGAUACUGGCAGUCUUGAGUACGGUUGAGGUAGGCGGAAUGCGUGGUGUAGCGGUGAAAUGCUUAGAUAUCACGAAGAACCCCGAUUGCGAAGGCAGCUUACUAAGCCGCCACUGACAUUGAUGCACGAAAGUGUGGGUAUCAAACAGGAUUAGAUACCCUUGUAGUC